RNAcentral lists this non-coding RNA (32 nucleotides) under Rattus norvegicus (Norway rat). Lineage: Eukaryota; Metazoa; Chordata; Mammalia; Rodentia; Muridae. The record is from RNAcentral.
UUGAAAUGUGAAUGAAUGGAAUGCUUACUAAA